RNAcentral lists this ribosomal RNA (165 nucleotides) under Laccaria bicolor. RNAcentral describes it as "5.8S ribosomal RNA". It matches the Rfam family "5.8S ribosomal RNA". From Rfam's summary of the family: 5.8S ribosomal RNA (5.8S rRNA) is a component of the large subunit of the eukaryotic ribosome. It is transcribed by RNA polymerase I as part of the 45S precursor that also contains 18S and 28S rRNA. Functionally, it is thought that 5.8S rRNA may be involved in ribosome translocation. The record is from RNAcentral. Lineage: Eukaryota; Fungi; Basidiomycota; Agaricomycetes; Agaricales; Hydnangiaceae. RNAcentral also lists the same sequence under 7 other names.
CAACUUUCAGCAACGGAUCUCUUGGCUCUCGCAUCGAUGAAGAACGCAGCGAAAUGCGAUAAGUAAUGUGAAUUGCAGAAUUCAGUGAAUCAUCGAAUCUUUGAACGCACCUUGCGCUCCUUGGUAUUCCGAGGAGCAUGCCUGUUUGAGUGUCAUUAAAUUCUC